AGUGAACGCUGGCGGUAGGCCUAACACAUGCAAGUCGAACGGCAGCACAGUAAGAGCUUGCUCUUACGGGUGGCGAGUGGCGGACGGGUGAGGAAUACAUCGGAAUCUACUUUUUCGUGGGGGAUAACGUAGGGAAACUUACGCUAAUACCGCAUACGACCUACGGGUGAAAGCAGGGGAUCUUCGGACCUUGCGCGAUUGAAUGAGCCGCUGUCGGAUUAGCUAGUUGGCGGGGUAAUGGCCCACCAAGGCGCCGAUCCGUAGCUGGUCUGAGAGGAUGGUCAGCCACACUGGAGCUGAGACACGGUCCAGGCUCCUGCGGGAGGCAGCAGUGGGGAAUAUUGGACAAUGGGCGCAAGCCUGAUCCAGCCAUACCGCGUGGGUGAAGAAGGCCUUCGGGUUGUAAAGCCCUUUUGUUGGGAAAGAAAAGCAGCAGGUUAAUACCCCGCUGUUCUGACGGUACCCAAAGAAUAAGCACCGGCUAACUUCGUG
RNAcentral lists this ribosomal RNA (492 nucleotides) under uncultured bacterium. RNAcentral describes it as "partial 16S ribosomal RNA". It matches the Rfam family "Bacterial small subunit ribosomal RNA", at positions 29 to 507 of the family's 1533-position model. The record is from RNAcentral.